RNAcentral lists this transfer RNA (72 nucleotides) under Camelus bactrianus (Bactrian camel). It matches the Rfam family "tRNA". Rfam says of the family: Transfer RNA (tRNA) molecules are approximately 80 nucleotides in length. Lineage: Eukaryota; Metazoa; Chordata; Mammalia; Artiodactyla; Camelidae. The record is from Rfam by way of RNAcentral. RNAcentral also lists the same sequence under 2 other names.
GAAUGUAUAGCUCAGUGGUUGAGCAUGUGCUUGGUGUGCAUGAGGUCCUGGAUUCAAUCCCCAGUACCUCUG